GGGAUUCUAAUACAAAAUUCUUUCAUGCCUAUGCAAAAGAGAGAAGAUGUCAGAACCAUAUCAAGUAUCUCAUCUCUGAAGAUGGGAACAGAAUUCAAAACCAUCAUCACAUCAAAGAAGAGAUUAGAGAUUUCUACCUGAAGUUGAUGGGAAGUGCAGCAGAUACAUUGCCUAUGGUGGACAAAAAUGUGGUUCAGAGAGGACCUACCUUAACACACCAUCAACGAGUUAUGCUAUAUUCAGAGGUCACAGCUGAUGAAGUCAAGAAUGCUCUUUACUCUAUGGAUCCCUCUAAAGCCCCAGGUAUUGAUGGCUUUAAUGUUCAUUUUUUCAAAAGUACUUGGAAUAUUAUUGGAGCAAGUGUCACUGAUGCUUUUAUAGAAUACUUUAGAACUGUAUUCAUGCCUAGAAUUAUAAACAGUACAUAUGUGACUUUGAUACCUAAAAUACCAAAUGCCACAUCAAUUAAGAAUUAUAGGCCCAUAUCAUGUUGCUUUGUGAUAUACAAGAUUAUUUCUAAAGUGUUAACUAACAGAAUGCAAGGUGUUCUAGAUAGCAUUGUUAGUGAAAGUCAAUCUGCUUUUAUCAAAGGGAGAGUGAUCUUUGAUAAUAUCAUUUUAAGCCAUGAACUUGUCAAGAGCUAUGGUAGGAAAGGUGUCUCCCCUAGAUGUAUGCUGAAAAUUGAUUUACAAAAGGUAUAUGACUCUCUUGAAUGGCCUUUCGUGAAAUAUCUUAUGCUUGAAUUGGGCUUUCCUUAUAAGUUUGUGAAUUGGGUGAUGGCAUGUAUCACCACUGCAUCUUAUACUUUCAAUGUUAAUGGUGAUCUGACUAGUCCUUUUCAAGCUAAGAAAGGACUUAGACAAGGAGAUCCAAUCUCUCCCUACCUCUUUGUGAUCUGUAUGGAGUAUUUGAAUAGGUGUCUGAUGCAUCUUACGAAAAACUCUG
Molecule: long non-coding RNA, 945 nt
Filed under: Medicago truncatula (barrel medic)
Lineage: Eukaryota; Viridiplantae; Streptophyta; Magnoliopsida; Fabales; Fabaceae
Description: long non-coding RNA (MTRU_LNC004294)
Source: RNAcentral